CAGCCGCCACGGGAAAACGGAGGGGGCUAGCGUUGUUCGGAAUUACUGGGCGUAAAGCGCACGUAGGCGGCUUGGUAAGUUAGAGGUGAAAGCCCGGAGCUCAACUCCGGAAUUGCCUUUAAGACUGCCGAGCUAGUAGGUGAGAGAGGUAAGUGGAAUUCCGAGUGUAGAGGUGAAAUUCGUAGAUAUUCGGAAGAACACCAGUGGCGAGGGCGGCUUACUGGCUCAUACUGGACGCUGAGGUGCGAAAGCGUGGGGAGCAAACAGGAUUAGAUACCCCCGUAGUCCCUGUCUCUUAUAC
Molecule: ribosomal RNA, 301 nt
Filed under: uncultured bacterium
Lineage: Bacteria
Description: partial 16S ribosomal RNA
Rfam family: Bacterial small subunit ribosomal RNA
Source: RNAcentral